GGCGGCGUGCUUAACACAUGCAAGUCGAACGGAAAGGUCUCUUCGGAGACACUCGAGUGGCGAACGGGUGAGUAACACGUGGGCAAUCUGCCCUGCACACCGGGAUAAGCCUGGGAAACUGGGUCUAAUACCGGAUAGGACCACUUGGCGCAUGCCUUGUGGUGGAAAGCUUUUGCGGUGUGGGAUGGGCCCGCGGCCUAUCAGCUUGUUGGUGGGGUGACGGCCUACCAAGGCGACGACGGGUAGCCGGCCUGAGAGGGUGUCCGGCCACACUGGGACUGAGAUACGGCCCAGACUNCUACGGGANGCAGCAGUGGGGAAUAUUGCACAAUGGGCGCAAGCCUGAUGCAGCGACGCCGCGUGGGGGAUGACGGCCUUCGGGUUGUAAACCUCUUUCACCAUCGACGAAGGUCCGGGUUCUCUCGGAUUGACGGUAGGUGGAGAAGAAGCACCGGCCAACUACGUGCCAGCAGCCGCGNUAAUACGUAGGGUGCGAGCGUUGUCCGGAAUUACUGGGCGUAAAGAGCUCGUAGGUGGUUUGUCGCGUUGUUCGUGAAAUCUCACGGCUUAACUGUGAGCGUGCGGGCGAUACGGGCAGACUAGAGUACUGCAGGGGAGACUGGAAUUCCUGGUGUAGCGGUGGAAUGCGCAGAUAUCAGGAGGAACACCGGUGGCGAAGGCGGGUCUCUGGGCAGUAACUGACGCUGAGGAGCGAAAGCGUGGGGAGCGAACAGGAUUAGAUACCCUGGUAGUCCACGNCGUAAACGGUGGGUACUAGGUGUGGGUUUCCUUCCUUGGGAUCCGUGCCGUAGCUAACGCAUUAAGUACCCCGCCUGGGGAGUACGGCCGCAAGGCUAAAACUCAAAGGAAUUGACGGGGGNCCGCACAAGCGGCGGAGCAUGUGGAUUAAUUCGAUGCAACGCGAAGAACCUUACCUGGGUUUGACAUGCACAGGACGCGUCUAGAGAUAGGCGUUCCCUUGUGGCCUGUGUGCAGGUGGUGCAUGGCUGUCGUCAGCUCGUGUCGUGAGAUGUUGGGUUAAGUCCCGCAACGAGCGCAACCCUUGUCUCAUGUUGCCAGCGGGUAAUGCCGGGGACUCGUGAGAGACUGCCGGGGUCAACUCGGAGGAAGGUGGGGAUGACGUCAAGUCAUCAUGCCCCUUAUGUCCAGGGCUUCACACAUGCUACAAUGGCCGGUACAAAGGGCUGCGAUGCCGCGAGGUUAAGCGAAUCCUUUUAAAGCCGGUCUCAGUUCGGAUCGGGGUCUGCAACUCGACCCCGUGAAGUCGGAGUCGCUAGUAAUCGCAGAUCAGCAACGCUGCGGUGAAUACGUUCCCGGGCCUUGUACACACCGCCCGUCACGUCAUGAAAGUCGGUAACACCCGAAGCCAGUGGCCUAACCCUCGGGAGGGAGCUGUCGAAGGUGGGAUCGGCGAUUGGGACGAAGUCGUAACAAGGUAG
Molecule: ribosomal RNA, 1460 nt
Filed under: Mycobacterium gastri
Lineage: Bacteria; Bacillati; Actinomycetota; Actinomycetes; Mycobacteriales; Mycobacteriaceae
Description: 16S ribosomal RNA
Rfam family: Bacterial small subunit ribosomal RNA
Source: RNAcentral